RNAcentral lists this ribosomal RNA (424 nucleotides) under Verrucomicrobiota bacterium. RNAcentral's name for it is "Verrucomicrobia bacterium partial 16S ribosomal RNA". It matches the Rfam family "Bacterial small subunit ribosomal RNA", at positions 355 to 776 of the family's 1533-position model. The record is from RNAcentral. Lineage: Bacteria; Pseudomonadati; Verrucomicrobiota.
UGAGGAAUAUUGGUCAAUGGACGAGAGUCUGAACCAGCCAAGUAGCGUGCAGGAUGACGGCCCUAUGGGUUGUAAACUGCUUUUGUUUGGGAAUAAUCGACAUUACGUGUAAUGUUUUGCAUGUACCAUUCGAAUAAGGACCGGCUAAUUCCGUGCCAGCAGCCGCGGUAAUACGGAAGGUCCAGGCGUUAUCCGGAUUUAUUGGGUUUAAAGGGAGUGUAGGCGGUUGGUUAAGCGUGUUGUGAAAUGUAGAUGCUCAACAUCUGACUUGCAGCACGACCUGGCUGACUUGAGUACACACAACGUAGGCGGAAUUCAUGGUGUAGCGGUGAAAUGCUUAGAUAUCAUGAAGAACUCCGAUUGCGAAUGCAGCUUUAGGGAGUGUUACUGACGCUUAAGCUCGAAGGUGCGGGUAUCGAACAGG